CCCUACACCUACAUCUUUUCUCUCUCUUAGCUUACCCUCUCCUAUUCUCUUCUCUCUCUCUUUCCCUUCAUUAGGGUUCUGAUUAUGUUAUGAACCUACCUUCCAUGCUGCUUCAAUUUUUCUUUUCUUUUUUUUUUCUUUUGAAAAAACCUUUAUACACUGUCUUGUGGGGCAUCUUCACUCUUCAAUAUCAUGGUCCUCUUUGUAUUCUUCCACAGCUUUCUUGAACUGCAUCCAUAGAGUUCCUUUGCAUGCAUGCCAUGGCACUCUUGCUCCCACACCUUGUUUUGCGGUUCAAUAAAGCUGUGGGAAGAUACAGAUAGAUUUAAAGCAUUGACUUUUCAGAUCAUAAUAACUCUGUUAUGUCACCAGAAUUCUGAGAUGCAGUCAUAUGAGAGAAUAAACUCGUAAGAUUUGUGACGACGAUUCCUCAACAACUCGGCUUCUUCCCCCGGAAUUAAACCGAUCAGGUAUUGAUUCGAUCGAUCCAAAAUCAAGGUUCCAUAGAUGCGGAAUCACUAUGCACACUUUGUCUCCAGAUCUUACUCUAAUUAAUUUGUUCCAAGUCCGUUAUAUUUGUUUUCCUUAAAUUCAUGCCCCUAUUUAAUUUCCUCUUAAUUAAAUUUGUGGAGCAAUCCAAGGCUCAAACUUGAGGAAUUUGUGCAUCAACAUUAUUGAUUUGUGAUGAUGCAUCGCGUAGGCAUAGCCGUUUGAUUUGAAAAUAUUUUUCCUUUUAGUUUUGGUGUUGUAGCUAGCUCUAGUGCUGUCUCCGGUGAAUAUAAUAAUUAUAAUAAUUUGAGCUUGUAAGCUGCUUGUGCUUUUGUCUUGACCUCACUCGCUCGCUCACUCAGUCACUCAGUCACUCAGUCACUCAGUCACUCACUCACGCACCUUAUUAGCCUUUUUCUUUUUGUUUUGAAAUGGUGUAUUGUGUAGCCUCCAAUGCAGGCAGAAGUUAGAAGUUACAGUGUUGAGAUUUGUCCAUAGAACAUGUCUCACUCAAUUCAUUAAACCUUUGAUCUGUGCUUGUACUGUUUUAGUCGGCAAAGUCACAGAUGGUGGAGUAAUUUAAUACACAUAUUCCAGGCUGCAGAUUCAGCAUAAGCAGGAGUUAUAGUAUGCAUUAAUUAAUCAGGAUUAUUGUUACUUAUAUUAUAUUAGGAAGCUAGGAACAAUUAUACGGUUGUUAUCUUGACUAACAAAAAUAAAAGAGAAUAUAUAUAUAGAUAUAUCUAGAUUCAUCCUAGCUUGGUAGAUCAAGAUAUUCUUUUUAAAAAAAAUAUCUGCAAGUCACAACAAACAAUUUUUGUUUUGGGUGCACGGGACUAACUAGAAGGAACAUUUUCAGUUACAGAUUGUUAGACAAUGGACCACAGAGAGGUGACCAUACUGCCUUUAUCUCUCGUAUGGAACUUCCAACAACUUAUGAAUGCUUUAAAGCCAUUGGUUGGUGACCCUAGGAAGAGGUUAGAUGAAAGCUUUUAUGGAAAAUAUUAACCAUAGAAUUCUCAAAAAUUAACCUCCACCACUGUAUUAUGGUGAUUCUUGCUAUAGAACCAACAAGGCUACCUAAAACCAACGCAGGAGGAGAAGCUUGUGAAGGAAACUAGGGUUUUCCUUUUCCCAAUUAAGUCAGGGACAACCAUGCUGCGGGAAAUGGGAAUUUUAGACCACCUGCGAGUACUGUUUCUUUCUUUAUCUUGCUUCCCUGUGCCCAGAAUCAGUUCGAAUGAGAACCCCUUUUGUUUCUCCCGAAAGAUUUUGAAAUUAGAAACGGUAAAAGCAAUUUCAAGUUAUAGAUAAAGCAAUCGAUCUUGCAUGGCCUAGAAAAAGAAGUGGCCGAUCCCGAUAUUAAUAUCAAUUUUCCACAAGGGGUUAUUCCUUUUCCUUCAUUUUGUGUCUCUCACUGUUAAAUCCGACAAAAUGGUGAGCUUCAGCGCCAUCAACUUUACUAGGACUUUUAGUUGGUGCAUUCACGAGCACUAUGACUCCCUCCAAUAAACAACUCCGUUUUUUUUUUCCUUUUCCAAAAGACAUUGUAAAAGUCGUGUGAGCAUGCCACUUUAUUUGCAAAAUCUAUAUCCUAAUCCUACUGUAACCCACUAAUCUAACAUACAUAUUCUAACUUGUUCCUCA
Long non-coding RNA from Vigna unguiculata (cowpea), 2136 nucleotides. RefSeq lists it as uncharacterized. NCBI's taxonomy places the organism in Eukaryota, Viridiplantae, Streptophyta, Magnoliopsida, Fabales, Fabaceae. The record is from RefSeq and is a predicted model, not a curated record.